CAAUAGCGUAUAUUAAAGUUGUUGCAGUUAAAAAGCUCGUAGUUGGAUUUCUGGUGGGAGCGAUCGGUCUGGCGCUUAGCGCGAGUACUUGCAUCGUCUCCGGCCAUCCUUGGGGAGAGUCUGUCUGGCAUUAGGUUGUCGGGCAGAGGAUCCUCAUCGUUUACUGUGAAAAAAUUAGAGUGUUCACAGCAGGCUUAUGCCGUUGAAUAUAUUAGCAUGGAAUAAUAAGAUAGGACUUUGGUACUAUUUUGUUGGUUUGCGCACCAAAGUAAUGAUUAAUAGGGACAGUUGGGGGUAUUCGUAUUCCGUUGUCAGAGGUGAAAUUCUUGGAUUUACGGAAGACGAACUACUGCGAAAGCAUUUACCAAGGAUGUUUUCAUUAA
RNAcentral lists this ribosomal RNA (383 nucleotides) under uncultured eukaryote. RNAcentral's name for it is "partial 18S ribosomal RNA". It matches the Rfam family "Eukaryotic small subunit ribosomal RNA", at positions 592 to 976 of the family's 1831-position model. The record is from RNAcentral.